This 420-nucleotide ribosomal RNA is filed under the name uncultured bacterium. RNAcentral describes it as "bacterial SSU rRNA". It matches the Rfam family "Bacterial small subunit ribosomal RNA", at positions 355 to 774 of the family's 1533-position model. The record is from RNAcentral.
UAAGGAAUAUUGCUCAAUGGGAGAAAUCCUGAAGCAGCAACGCCGCGUGGAGGAUGAAGGGUCUAUGACUUGUAAACUCCUGUAAAGAAGGAAAAAAUUCCCAUUAGAUGGGAGAUGAUGGUACUUCUGGAGUAAGCCCCGGCUAACUACGUGCCAGCAGCCGCGGUAAUACGUAGGGGGCAAGCGUUGUCCGGAUUUACUGGGUGUAAAGGGUGCGUAGGCGGCAAUGCAAGUCAGAUGUGAAAACUAUGGGCUUAACUCAUAGAUUGCAUUUGAAACUGUGUUGCUUGAGUGAAGUAGAGGCAGGCGGAAUUCCCGGUGUAGCGGUGAAAUGCGUAGAGAUCGGGAGGAACACCAGUGGCGAAGGCGGCCUGCUGAGCUUUAACUGACGCUGAGGCACGAAAGCAUGGGUAGCAAACA